RNAcentral lists this ribosomal RNA (500 nucleotides) under uncultured Glomeromycotina. RNAcentral describes it as "partial small subunit ribosomal RNA". It matches the Rfam family "Eukaryotic small subunit ribosomal RNA", at positions 591 to 1092 of the family's 1831-position model. Lineage: Eukaryota; Fungi; Glomeromycota. The record is from RNAcentral.
CCAAUAGCGUAUAUUAAAGUUGUUGCAGUUAAAAAGCUCGUAGUUGAAUUUCGGGAUUAGUAAGUUGGUCGUGCCUCCGGUAUGUACUGGCUUUACUGGUUCCUCCUUCUUGAAGAACUGUAAUGUCAUUAAUUUGGUGUUGCAGGGAAACAGGACUGUUACUUUGAAAAAAUUAGAGUGUUUAAAGCAGGCUAACGCUUGAAUACAUAAGCAUGGAAUAAUGAGAUAGGACGUUUGAUCCUAUUUUGUUGGUUUCUAGGAUUGACGUAAUGAUUAAUAGGGAUAGUUGGGGGCAUUAGUAUUCAAUUGUCAGAGGUGAAAUUCUUGGAUUUAUUGAAGACUAACUACUGCGAAAGCAUUUGCCAAGGAUGUUUUCAUUAAUCAAGAACGAAAGUUAGGGGAUCGAAGACGAUCAGAUACCGUCGUAGUCUUAACCAUAAACUAUGCCGACUAGGGAUCGGAUGAUGUUAAUUUUUUAAUGACUCAUUCGGCGCCUUACG